This 65-nucleotide transfer RNA is filed under the name Dipodomys ordii (Ord's kangaroo rat). It matches the Rfam family "tRNA". Rfam says of the family: Transfer RNA (tRNA) molecules are approximately 80 nucleotides in length. Their secondary structure includes four short double-helical elements and three loops (D, anti-codon, and T loops). Further hydrogen bonds mediate the characteristic L-shaped molecular structure. tRNAs have two regions of fundamental functional importance: the anti-codon, which is responsible for specific mRNA codon recognition, and the 3' end, to which the tRNAs corresponding amino acid is attached (by aminoacyl-tRNA synthetases). tRNAs cope with the degeneracy of the genetic code in two manners: having more than one tRNA (with a specific anti-codon) for a particular amino acid; and 'wobble' base-pairing, i.e. permitting non-standard base-pairing at the 3rd anti-codon position. Lineage: Eukaryota; Metazoa; Chordata; Mammalia; Rodentia; Heteromyidae. The record is from Rfam by way of RNAcentral.
GGUGGCUCAGUGGUAGAGUGCCUGCCUUGCAUGCAUGAAGCCCUGGGUUCAAUUCCUCAGCACCA